Oncorhynchus tshawytscha (Chinook salmon) is the source of this 522-nucleotide long non-coding RNA. RefSeq lists it as uncharacterized. Lineage: Eukaryota; Metazoa; Chordata; Actinopteri; Salmoniformes; Salmonidae. The record is from RefSeq and is a predicted model, not a curated record. The transcript is spliced from 3 exons.
AACACCUAGCUAGGUUUAUCAUGGUGUUAUAGACUGAUGGUUAAAUGACAGGUGUAACAUCUAGCUAGGUUUAUCAUGGUGUUAUAGACUGAUGGUUAAAUGACAGGUGUAACAUCUAGCUAGGUUUAUCAUGGUGUUAUAGACUGAUGGUUAAAUGACAGGUGUAACACCUAGCUAGGUUUAUCAUGGUGUUAUAGACUGAUGGUUAAAUGACAGGUGUAACACCUAGCUAGGUUUAUCAUGGUGUUAUAGACUGAUGGUUAAAUGACAGGUGUAACACCUAGCUAGGUUUAUCAUGGUGUUAUAGACUGAUGGUUAAAUGACAGGUGUAACACCUAGCUAGGUUUAUCAUGGUGUUAUAGACUGAUGGUUAAAUGACAGGUGUAACACCUAGCUAGGUUUAUCAUGGUGUUAUAGACUGAUGGUUAAAUGACAGGUGUAACACCUAGCUAGGUUUAUCAUGGUGUUAUAGACUGAUGGUUAAAUGACAGGUGUAACACCUAGCUAGGUUUAUCAUGGUGU